This 468-nucleotide ribosomal RNA is filed under the name uncultured bacterium. RNAcentral describes it as "partial 16S ribosomal RNA". It matches the Rfam family "Bacterial small subunit ribosomal RNA", at positions 28 to 507 of the family's 1533-position model. The record is from RNAcentral.
GGCGAACGCUGGCGGCGUGCUUAACACAUGCAAGUCGAACGGAAAGGCCCUGCUCUUGUGGGGUGCUCGAGUGGCGAACGGGUGAGUAACACGUGAGUAACCUGCCCUUGACUUUGGGAUAACUUCAGGAAACCGGGGCUAAUACCGGAUAGGAGCUCCUGCUGCAUGGUGGGGGUUGGAAAGUUUCGGCGGUUGGGGAUGGACUCGCGGCUUAUCAGCUUGUUGGUGGGGUAGUGGCUUACCAAGGCUUUGACGGGUAGCCGGCCUGAGAGGGUGACCGGCCACAUUGGGACUGAGAUACGGCCCAGACUCCUACGGGAGGCAGCAGUGGGGAAUAUUGCACAAUGGGCGGAAGCCUGAUGCAGCAACGCCGCGUGCGGGAUGACGGCCUUCGGGUUGUAAACCGCUUUCGCCUGUGACGAAGCGUGAGUGACGGUAAUGGGUAAAGAAGCACCGGCUAACUACGUG